AAGUAGAAACCAUGAGGUUACCAUGUCACACUAAGUCCCACAUGACCAAAACCUCAUAGCUCACACACUCUUGAUCCUAGUGUGCACAACGAGGGGCUUUUCUCCACAAGCCUCAUGUGAUGAACUAUUCCUAACCCUAAUUCCAACACACACACACACACACAUUUUCUAUUUUAAAGUUCCCAUUCAUUUAUCUCACUCACAACGUUGUACGAAAACCUGAGACAAGACCACGGCAGCUCACGUCAGCCCACAAUCCUCAAACCACAUCCAGUAACAUCAUCCAAUAAAAAGGAAACGUUCAUCCAAACAGUAAUAGGGGGUGCAGGCGGUGCGGGGCGUCCAUGGCACCCACGUUGGGGUGGGGGAUUAGCAAGAGACGUCGCGGCGUCACACACUUGUCACGACGCAG
RNAcentral lists this long non-coding RNA (412 nucleotides) under Physcomitrium patens. RNAcentral's name for it is "long non-coding RNA (PPAT_LNC000471)". Lineage: Eukaryota; Viridiplantae; Streptophyta; Bryopsida; Funariales; Funariaceae. The record is from RNAcentral.